UUGAAGUCUCUCAUGCAGAGGUGUCAAGUAAUUGUAGUACAAAUACUUUGUUACUUUACUUAAGUAGAACUUUCGGGUAUCUAUACUUUACUGAGGUAAUUCUUUUGCAGCAGACUUUUUACUUCUACUUCUUACGUUUUCAAGCA
This is a long non-coding RNA of Etheostoma cragini (Arkansas darter), 146 nucleotides long. RefSeq lists it as uncharacterized. The transcript has 3 exons. NCBI's taxonomy places the organism in Eukaryota, Metazoa, Chordata, Actinopteri, Perciformes, Percidae. The record is from RefSeq and is a predicted model, not a curated record.